CGGUGAAUGGUGUGGCCGGAUCCCUGGGCCGUGCGCACGGUGCUGAUUAAGCCUGCCCCAGAUUCGAGGGACAGGGAGUACAGGGACAGGGACAGGGAUGACGGCAGGGCGACGGCGGCAUGUUCCGCGCUGCGCCUUAGCGCGGCAGGGUGGUUGACCCAGGUUAUAAAAGUGGGUCGUUGACGGACGCGCACCAGUCUCACGCUUACCCGCUUGGCGGCAUCACCUCCCUUCUUCGCGCGCUCCCUCGCCAGUAAGCUCCCUCGCGAGCGUCCCGGAAACCCCGCGAAAAUCACUCGCCGGAGUUCCGCCGUGAUCCCUGUGAAAUGCGAUCGAAUCCCAUUCUAACCAGUGUCAAUACCGAUUUCAGAGGAAACCGUUCCUCCAAGAUUCACUCUGUGAAACGCGCCUUUUGCAAAGUAACUCAUCGCUAUCUCAAAUUCAUGGAAUUAAACUCUCCGACCCUGUUCAACGCUCAUUCAAACGGUGCGUGAAGUGAUUUGACUCACCAUGCAAAGAGGUCUAGUCGAGUCGUGGAAAAUUGAGUUGUAAAUAAUUUCAAGUGCGUUCAACUCCGUUGUCAAAUGGUGUGUUUGAAGGCAUCGGCGAUCUACUGGAGCUGAAAUAUUUCGGACUUAGGAGUCCCAGGGCGAUUUUCAAAUUCAACCGCUAAAUCGUGACGAAUCUUGUUCACAACACGUGACUCUAUCAGUGCUUAAACUGUGAUUAUUCGAUAAGUCGAGAGCGCUAAAGCAUAUUCGCGAGAUCUAAGAGGAGACGAAUACAAGUCACCGAAUGUGCAUCACAAUGUGUGACACCUGCAAGGCGAGACUCCGCGGCGGGCUAGCCGAGCGGCUAAGUCGGCUCAAGAUCAACGACUUCGGGCCCGAGGGUCUGACCGGGAGCUGCUCCUCCAACUCGGACUUCCUGCACCCCAACUCGGGAAGCGACGGCUACGGGGCCAGCGGCGCCUCCUCCUCCUCCAGCCAUUGCGGAGCCGGCUGUACCUGUUCCGCCUGCUCCGAACACAGUGGAAGCAACGAGAAGCUGGCCGCCGACGAAGACGAUCUCACCUACCGGGUCUUCCGCGACUUCGACUGCGGUCUCGGCUGCACCUGCGAGGAGACACCCGACAACCCGGACCGGAAGCGGGUGGAGAUCCUCCUGCCGGAAGGAGACGACUCGGGGCGCUACUCCUCCGAGGAGAACCUCUCCACGGAGCGAAUGGAGUCUCCGCGUCGCUACCAGAACGUACGGGACACUCAGCAUCCGCUGGCGCGGUACCGUCUCGUCCGUCGCAACUCGGAUUCGAGUAUAUUCGACUACAUCAAUAAACCGGAGCUCCCCGCCUACAAAGAGAGCAGUUUGAGUGCAUCGUCGGACCGGAAAGCUCAACGCGAGGCCGGAAAGUCUCAGGGUAAACAGAAGAAGGAGAAGAAGACUAAGAAGGAGAAACAGGUGAAGACUAUCUGGAGGCGGCCAACACCUUACAUUUACGUCACCGACUCGUACGGGUUCAAGGUACGCAGACCGCUACACCCGCCGGAAUAUUUAGAUAAGCAGAAUUAUUUGUACUUGGUCUCCUACGUGGACCGAAGCUAUCUCAGCCAGUUGACGAGAACGGACUUUUAA
RNAcentral lists this long non-coding RNA (1632 nucleotides) under Bemisia tabaci. RNAcentral's name for it is "lncRNA ENSSSA1UGG006451". Lineage: Eukaryota; Metazoa; Arthropoda; Insecta; Hemiptera; Aleyrodidae. The record is from RNAcentral.